UUAUGUAGGACAGACGAAUAGACAACUAAAGACGAGAAUAAAUGAACAUCGUAGUCAUAUCAGACAUAAUACAUCUGUGAGAUCGGUCCAGAUGGAGGUUGUGCUAUCGCUGCCUGUCACGCUUGAGCAAACAUUGGCUUGAAGAUGAUUGAAAUUCGCCCUAGGCGUGGCAAAAACUGUGGUUAGAGGAUCGUUUAUGUGUAAGACUCAUACACGUGUUCACGGAGGGAAUAAUUAGAAUAGCAUGUCGAGGGUGAUACAUGUUUGGUGAUAAUGUUGACGGAACAUCUUGAUCAAAACGCAUC
Molecule: long non-coding RNA, 305 nt
Organism: Cyphomyrmex costatus
Lineage: Eukaryota; Metazoa; Arthropoda; Insecta; Hymenoptera; Formicidae
Exons: 3
Source: RefSeq, a predicted model, not a curated record